AAUAAUAAUAAUAAUAAUAAUAAUAAUAAUAAAGAUAAAGGGUCUAAUAAUUAGGUUAUAUAAAGCAAAGGAUUGCUAUGGUCUCAAAUAUUUUGGAAACCUAGUUUCUUUUUUUUCUUCUCUUCGGCGGCUUAUGGGUAAAAGAGAUUCAGUUGCUGAAGGAAAUCAAUUGCUUGGAUAAGAGGAAAGGAAUAUUGAUCUCAAAACAAAAUUGGGACUAGCGCUUGUGAUAUAGAGGAGCUCGAGUUUGCCCUUAGGGUGGUGAUUAUUUGGCAACGGUAAUCUAAGGUAAGGGUAAGGCUAAGCAGUGAGAUUGGAGAGCUCGAGGCGUGGACCGCAUGUUAGGGGGCUGGCACAGUAUUUUGCUUUUAAUGUUUUUUUUUUAAACUGCUAAACAUUUUGGAACUAUUAUUUUGACUUAACUAGUUCUUAUUUAAGUUUACAGUACUAAAAGUAUUUUGUUUUAAACAAUGAGAUCUCAUGCUUGGAUAUUUUUCAAUAAAGAAGUAUUUGAUUGUCUUUA
Cannabis sativa is the source of this 523-nucleotide long non-coding RNA. RefSeq lists it as uncharacterized. NCBI's taxonomy places the organism in Eukaryota, Viridiplantae, Streptophyta, Magnoliopsida, Rosales, Cannabaceae. The record is from RefSeq and is a predicted model, not a curated record. The transcript has 3 exons.